GCUUGCUUUGGCAAUGCAUAUACUUAAAGUGGAAGGAUACAGAGAAGAUUAGGAUGGCCUCUGCUCAAGGAUAACAUGCAAAUUCGUGAAGUGUUUCAUAUUUUU
Molecule: small nuclear RNA, 105 nt
Organism: Dromiciops gliroides (monito del monte)
Lineage: Eukaryota; Metazoa; Chordata; Mammalia; Microbiotheria; Microbiotheriidae
Source: RefSeq, a predicted model, not a curated record